GAGACCCGUGCCCACUGUUACCAGCAUGUCCUUUGGGAUGAUGGGUACUCUGUGGGGACCGCCGGUGUUAAAUCGGAGGAAGGUGCGGGCUACGGUAGGUCAGUAUGCCCCGAAUCUCCCGGGCUACACGCGGGCUACAAUGGAUGGGACAAUGGGUCCCUUCCCUGAAAAGGGUUGGUAAUCUCAAAAACCCAUUCUUAGUUCGGAUCGAGGGCUGUAACUCGCCCUCGUGAAGCUGGAAUCCGUAGUAAUCGCGUUUCAAUAUAGCGCGGUGAAUAC
This 279-nucleotide ribosomal RNA is filed under the name uncultured methanogenic archaeon. RNAcentral describes it as "partial 16S rRNA". It matches the Rfam family "Archaeal small subunit ribosomal RNA", at positions 1047 to 1325 of the family's 1478-position model. Lineage: Archaea; Methanobacteriati; Methanobacteriota. The record is from RNAcentral.